GAAACAUAGCUCAUUGGCAGAGCAUACACUUUGCAUGCCAAGAGGUCCCAGGUUCAAUCCCUGGCAUCUCCA
Podarcis lilfordi (Lilford's wall lizard) is the source of this 72-nucleotide non-coding RNA. Lineage: Eukaryota; Metazoa; Chordata; Lepidosauria; Squamata; Lacertidae. The record is from the annotation of a GenBank genome assembly.